GAUGAAGAACGUAGCGAAAUGCGAUAAGUAAUGUGAAUUGCAGAAUUCAGUGAAUCAUCGAAUCUUUGAACGCACAUUGCGCCCGCCAGUAUUCUGGCGGGCAUGCCUGUCUGAGCGUCAUUUCAACCCUCAUGCCCCUAGGGCGUGGUGUUGGGGAUCGGCCAAAGCCCGCGAGGGACGGCCGGCCCCUAAAUCUAGUGGCGGACCCGUCGUGGCCUCCUCUGCGAAGUAGUGAUAUUCCGCAUCGGAGAGCGAUGAGCCCCUGCCGUUAAACCCCCAACUUUCGAAGGUUGACCUCAGAUCAGGUAGGAAUACCCGCUGAACUUAAGCAUAUCAAUAAGCGGAGGA
RNAcentral lists this unclassified non-coding RNA (348 nucleotides) under soil metagenome. RNAcentral's name for it is "partial contains 5.8S ribosomal RNA, internal transcribed spacer 2, and large subunit ribosomal RNA". The stretch from base 1 to 120 matches the Rfam family "5.8S ribosomal RNA", at positions 35 to 154 of the family's 154-position model. The record is from RNAcentral.